RNAcentral lists this ribosomal RNA (622 nucleotides) under Bathymophila sp. 22 LS-2016. Its description in RNAcentral is "partial 12S ribosomal RNA". Lineage: Eukaryota; Metazoa; Mollusca; Gastropoda; Trochida; Solariellidae. The record is from RNAcentral.
GACAAACAGAUCAAAUUAAAAUUAAUGAUAGUAAAGAAGGAGGUUAUAGAUUUAUUUCGAGAAAUAAUGCUCUUUAGAGAGGUGAAAUUUAGAUAAAGAGAGAUAAAUUAGGUUUUUCUUUUUUUGACGCCUCGAAAUUUUGUUAUGAGACCGGGAUUAGAUACCCCGUUAUUCAAAAUGUAAACUUUGAUUGUAUUUAUGAUUUACUUGAGUAUUACGAGUAUAAAAGAUUUGUCUUAUAUAUUUCUUAAAACUCAAAAAACUUGGCGGUGCCUAUAUCCUUCCAGGGGAACCUGUCCUAUAAUCGAUAGUCCUCGAUUUAACUUUCUUUCUUUUGAAUUUUAUCAGCUUGUAUACCGUCGUCGUCAGGUUACCUUUAAGAGUUAUGAAGUUAUCAGUGAGAACUAGAAGAAAUUUAAAUUUAUGUAUUAUAUAAAUUAUAGAUUAAUUUAUGUGAGUUCUAGACGUCAGAUCAAGGUGCAGCUUAUAGGAAAGCAGAGAUGGGUUACAGUAAUGAAUUAUUAUACGAAUUUUUGUUGUAAAUAGCGAAAUUGAAGGAGGACUUGGAAGUAAUUGGUUUAAAGAUAAGAGAGCUUAGAUGAAAAUAGGCUCUGAGGUGCGC